GUGGCUAUGGCGCAGCGGCUAGCGCAUCUGACUGUGGCUCAGAGGGUCGUGGGUUCAAAUCCCACUAGCCACCCCA
This 76-nucleotide transfer RNA is filed under the name Pseudomonadota bacterium. RNAcentral describes it as "Proteobacteria bacterium (freshwater sediment metagenome) tRNA-His". It matches the Rfam family "tRNA". Rfam says of the family: Transfer RNA (tRNA) molecules are approximately 80 nucleotides in length. Their secondary structure includes four short double-helical elements and three loops (D, anti-codon, and T loops). The record is from RNAcentral. Lineage: Bacteria; Pseudomonadati; Pseudomonadota.